GAUUCUGGCUCAGGAUGAACGCUGGCGGCGUGCCUAACACAUGCAAGUCGAACGGAAACCAGACGCUUCGGAGACUUCGGUCAAUGUUGUUGGUUUAGUGGCGGACGGGUGAGUAACGCGUGGAUAACCUGCCAUAUACAGGGGGAUAACAGUUAGAAAUGACUGCUAAUACCGCAUAAGCGCACAGUCUCGCAUGGGACAGUGUGAAAAACUCCGGUGGUAUAUGAUGGAUCCGCGUCUGAUUAGCCAGUUGGCGGGGUAACGGCCCACCAAAGCGACGAUCAGUAGCCGGCCUGAGAGGGUGAACGGCCACAUUGGGACUGAGACACGGCCCAAACUCCUACGGGAGGCAGCAGUGGGGGAUAUUGGCACAAUGGGGGAAACCCUGAUGCAGCGAACCGCCGCGUGAGUGAAGAAGUAUUUCGGUAUGUAAAGCUCUAUCAGCAGGGAAGAUAAUGACGGUACCUGACUAAGAAGCACCGGCUAAAUACGUGCCAGCCGCUGC
RNAcentral lists this ribosomal RNA (505 nucleotides) under uncultured bacterium. RNAcentral describes it as "bacterial SSU rRNA". It matches the Rfam family "Bacterial small subunit ribosomal RNA", at positions 15 to 518 of the family's 1533-position model. The record is from RNAcentral.